UUACGGACCAGCUAAGGGAGGC
Molecule: microRNA, 22 nt
Filed under: Homo sapiens (human)
Lineage: Eukaryota; Metazoa; Chordata; Mammalia; Primates; Hominidae
Description: hsa-miR-4788
Source: miRBase by way of RNAcentral